AUAACCGGCUUAGGCCCUGUUUGUUUACCUCUUAAUUGUAAAAUUAAGAGGCAAUAUCUGAAAAUUUUAGAUUCAGAUCGUUUGUUUGCGUCUUACUUUUUACCUUUUAAAAUAAAAAACACCUCUUAAUUUAUCAGAUAGGGAACAAAGUCUGAAAAAAAAAAUGAACGCAUGUUUUGUUUUUCCCUAAACUACACGAUCGCACGUACCCACCUCCUCUUCUCCCGUCUUCUUCCCCUGUCGCGCCUGCUUCCCUUCGCCGUCGCCGCCGCCUGAGACGAUGCCGCCCACCCAUCGUCGACGACGGCCGCCUGAAACUCCACCUGCUGUACCCUAAACCCGAAAAUCAAAAAAUUCAAAAUAGGUGCAUUUGCUUCUUUUGAAAAUCGAUUAAUCUUCUUAUGGUUCUUCCUUCUUUCCCCCCAAAUGCGAAAAUAAAUAAUGGAAAUCAAGUUCUUAUGUUAUGAAAUGGGAGAAAAGAAUGAUAGGAUCAGUUGGAAGGUUGAAGGUAUAGAGAAAACGUUUUUAGAAGCUUGUUUACGUGAAGUUACAGUCAAUGGACGGGAAGAGAGUAGUUUGAAAGCACUAUCUUGGAGGAAUGUAGCUGAAACAUUAAAAAUUGAACAUAAUUUUAUUGCUGACCAAAAACAAAUGAAGAACCGCUAUGGCUACCUAAAGUCAAAGUUUGGUGCUUUUUUGAAGUUAAAAAACAAAACCGGUAAUAUGUACAAUCCAACAACCAACACCUUCAAUCUUUCCAAAGAAGAAUCGGAACUAGAAUCGAAGGUAAUUUGUUUAGUUAUAAAAAAUAUAUUGUAACGCCCGUGUUUCUGGGCUAAAGCAUUAAUAAUGGUGUAAUAGUCUAGAUCAACCUUUGUAACUCAUUUUGAAGUAAUAAAAAGGAAUUAUGUGAA
Lactuca sativa (garden lettuce) is the source of this 914-nucleotide non-coding RNA. NCBI's taxonomy places the organism in Eukaryota, Viridiplantae, Streptophyta, Magnoliopsida, Asterales, Asteraceae. The record is from RefSeq and is a predicted model, not a curated record.